GGCAGACUUGAGUGAGGACGUUUAGGAUAAGUGUGCAAAAUAAGUAUGCUUGGGAUUUAGUGUGCAAACCUUUAGGAUGUGCUUGAAGUGGGAACAUUCAGGGUGAGUGUGUAAAGUUGGAACAUUUAGGAUGAGUCUGUAAGAUGAGUGUGUGUAUGAGUAAGCUGAGAACAUUGAGGAUGAGAAGCAUAUAUGGAUGAGUAUGCUAAGUGAAGCAUAUAGGAUGAGUAUGUAAAGUGAAGCAUAUAGGAUGAGUAUGUAAAGUGAAGCAUAUAGGAUGAGUAUGUAAAGUGAAGCAUAUAGGAUGAGUAUGCUAAGUGAAGCAUAUAGGAUGAGUAUGCUAAGUGAAGAGGUCAGGGUGAGUAUGCUAAGUGAAGAGGUUAGGGUGAGUGUGUAAGAUGAGUAUGUGUAUGAGUAUGCUAAGUGAAGAGGUUAGGGUGAGUAUGCUAAGUGAAGAGGUUAGGGUGAGUGUGUAAGAUGAGUAUGUGUAUGAGUAUGCUAAGUGAAGAAGUCAGUGUGAGUGUGUAAGAUGAGUAUGUGUAUGAGUAUGCUAAGUGAAGAGGUUAGGGUGAGUAUGCUAAGUGAAGAGGUUAGGGUGAGUAUGCUAAGUGAAGAAGUCAGGGUGAGUGUGUAAGAUGAGUAUGUGUAUGAGUAUGCUAAGUGAAGAAGUCAGGGUGAGUGUGUAAGAUGAGUAUGUGUAUGAGUAUGCUAAGUGAAGAAGUCAGGGUGAGUGUGUAAGAUGAGUAUGUGUAUGAGUAUGCUAAGUGAAGAGGUUAGGGUGAGUGUGUAAGAUGAGUAUGUGUAUGAGUAUGCUAAGUGAAGAGGUCAGGGUGAGUAUGCUAAGUGAAGAGGUUAGGGUGAGUAUGCUAAGUGAAGAGGUUAGGGUGAGUGUGUAAGAUGAGUAUGUGUAUGAGUAUGCUAAGUGAAGAGGUCAGGGUGAGUAUGCUAAGUGAAGAGGUCAGGGUGAGUGUGUAAGAUGAGUAUGUGUAUGAGUAUGCUAAGUGAAGAGGUUAGGGUGAGUGUAUAAGAUGAGUAUGUGUGUGAGUAUGCUAAGUGAAGAGGUUAGGGUGAGUGUGUAAGAUGAGU
Clupea harengus (Atlantic herring) is the source of this 1086-nucleotide long non-coding RNA. RefSeq lists it as uncharacterized. NCBI's taxonomy places the organism in Eukaryota, Metazoa, Chordata, Actinopteri, Clupeiformes, Clupeidae. The record is from RefSeq and is a predicted model, not a curated record. The transcript is spliced from 3 exons.